AAGCAUGCAUCAGACAUUUUCUAAUUAAUUUCUUGAAACGCUUCCAUGCUUCGUAUAAUGUCUCAUCUCAAGAUUGCCUGAAAGAUGUAAUGCCAUUCCUCAGCUU
Molecule: small nucleolar RNA, 106 nt
Organism: Gossypium raimondii (Peruvian cotton)
Lineage: Eukaryota; Viridiplantae; Streptophyta; Magnoliopsida; Malvales; Malvaceae
Rfam family: Plant small nucleolar RNA R71
About the family: R71 is a member of the C/D box family of snoRNAs containing the C (UGAUGA) and D (CUGA) box motifs. Multiple nearly identical copies of this snoRNA have been identified in Arabidopsis, and it is thought to function as a 2'-O-ribose methylation guide for 18S ribosomal RNA.
Source: Rfam